GAAGAACUAACCAGGAUUCCCCUAGUAACGGCGAGCGAACCGGGAAGAGCCCAACUUGAAAAUCUGGGAGCCUUGCUCUCCGAAUUGUAGUCUAGAGAAGUGUCCUCUGUAACGGACCGAGCCUAAGUUCCCUGGAACGGGACGUCAGAGAGGGUGAGAGCCCCGUCGACCUCGGACCCUGUUACUCCACGAGGCGCUGUCAACGAGUCGGGUUGUUUGGGAAUGCAGCCCUAAUUGGGUGGUAAAUUCCAUCUAAGGCUAAAUACUGGCGAGAGACCGAUAGCGAACAAGUACCGCGAGGGAAAGAUGAAAAGAACUUUGAAAAGAGAGUUAAAAAGUGCUUGAAAUUGUUGAGAGGGAAGCGAAUGGAAGCAGUGGGUGCGCCUCGGUCGUAUGCGUGACGGGAAACUGGACCGCUGAUCGACGCGAGGUGCUGGUCAGCAUGGGUUAGCGCGGCGGGACAAACGCAGGGAUUGAUACUCUGUCGAUGCCGGCGCGCUGACCGAGGAUUAAGUGUGCGCUUUGCGGCUUCGGACCUGCACACUCAUGAUGCUGGCGCAAUGCUUCCAUCCGGCCCGUCUUGAAACACGGACCAAGGAGUCUAACAUGUAUGCGAGCCGGUGGGUGGCAAACCCAUGAGGCGCAAGUAACCUGACUGGUGGGAUCUCUUUGAGUGCACCAUCGACCGACCAUGAUCUUCUGUGAAAGGUUUGAGUACGAGCAUACCUGUUGGGACCCGAAAGAUGGUGAACUAUGCCUGAGCAGGGCGAAGCCAGAGGAAACUCUGGUGGAGGCUCGUAGCGAUACUGACGUGCAAAUCGUUCGUCAGACUUGGGUAUAGGGGCGAAAGACUAAUCGAACCAUCUAGUAGCUGGUUUCCUCCGAAGUUUCCCUCAGGAUAGCUGGAGCUCGUUCAGUUUUAUCAGGUAAAGCGAAUGAUUAGAGGCCUCAGGGAUGAAACAUCUUUGACCUAUUCUCAAACUUUAAAUAGGUAAGCUGCCAAGGUUGCUUAAUUGAACCUUGGCGAUGAAUGAGAG
RNAcentral lists this ribosomal RNA (1037 nucleotides) under Nardia assamica. RNAcentral's name for it is "eukaryotic LSU rRNA". It matches the Rfam family "Eukaryotic large subunit ribosomal RNA", at positions 56 to 1119 of the family's 3401-position model. The record is from RNAcentral. Lineage: Eukaryota; Viridiplantae; Streptophyta; Jungermanniopsida; Jungermanniales; Gymnomitriaceae.